GGUUUAUUUCUCCGGCGAUAACCCUAGAGAUAGAUGGAUUUCACCAGCGUUUUCACAUCUCAGGGUGUGGGGUUGAAUUUUUUUCUCACAAUGAGGCAUUCAAAAGGAUGAGAUUCUGUCAGAGAUGUUAUAAAAUGUAACAUGAAAAACAAACUUAUGUCUAUGUAGGUGCUCAUUGAGAGUUUGAGACCACGAAUCCAUCUAUUGCUUAAUGAAUCAGGGAUAAUCUUGACAGGUCAUAAAGCUGGAGCUUCAUAUACGGGUCAAAUGUGCCUUGCCUGCAACUAUUUUUCUGAUUUUAUUUUCUUGUUGCAGGUGCCAAAAAGCUUCGAAGUGAAGAUGCUAGCCUUGAGGUUGUGGCAGCUGGUGUUGUUCCAAUUCUUGUUACUAGAGGCAUUGAGAAGACAAAUAAAGUGAGGCAUUGAGAAAACAAAUAAAGCUUUGGUGGCUGUGUUCAAGCCGAUCUCAAACUAGUUGAAUCGAAGGUUUCGUAGAUCUCGUUGGCCUUUUGUCAUUCGUCUCCCUUGGUGGUCAACAUUUGAAUGUUGGUGGCGCUUUUUUCUUUCUCUCAUAUUCAUCAACGAUUUCUCAGGUACAUGUGGGUUGAGCAAUUUACAAGUCUAAAACGGAAAAUCUUGGAUACGAUUCGAAAGGGGUCACAUGGAAUGUUUUGUGUUAAAACUAAUAUAAUUUGUUUUAUUUUAUAUCAUCAUUACUUAUAGCAAAAAAAAAAAAAAAACAAAAAA
This 746-nucleotide long non-coding RNA is filed under the name Helianthus annuus (common sunflower). Lineage: Eukaryota; Viridiplantae; Streptophyta; Magnoliopsida; Asterales; Asteraceae. The record is from RNAcentral.